UGGCGCACGGGCGAGUAAUAUAUAAGCAAUCUACCCAUAGGUUUGGGAUAACGUCGAGAAAUCGGCGCUAAUACCGUAUAAUGCAGCGGCAUCGCAUGAUGAUGUUGUUAAAGUUCUUGAAACGCCUAUGGAUGAGCUUGUAUCUGAUUAGCUUGUUGGUGAGGUAACGGCUCACCAAGGCAAUGAUCAGUAGCUGGUCUGAGAGGAUGAUCAGCCACAUUGGAACUGAGACACGGUCCAGACUCCUACGGGAGGCAGCAGUGAGGAAUAUUGGGCAAUGGGCGAAAGCCUGACCCAGCAACGCCGCGUGGAGGAUGAAUGUCGUAAGAUUGUAAACUCCUUUUAGAGGGGACGAAAAAACAGGUUAGAAGCCUGAAUUGACGGUACCCUCAGAAUAAGCCCCGGCUAACUACGUG
Molecule: ribosomal RNA, 416 nt
Filed under: uncultured bacterium
Lineage: Bacteria
Description: bacterial SSU rRNA
Rfam family: Bacterial small subunit ribosomal RNA
Source: RNAcentral